GAUUUUUUUUCAAAAUAUAUGUGUUAACCCCUACGAAAAGAGUGAGUUUUCGGUAAAUGCUCUAUAUAUGAAGCCUAUAAUCUUUAAAUUUGUUUUAAAAUUUAAAACCACAUUAUACCUUUGUAUUAAUGUAUGAUAAACUUCUUUUCAUGGUACAUGGACAUCGUUCUAAUUUUUUAUCCAUUAAUUUAGCAAAACUGCAAAUACUCCCUAAAUCAUUAGACUAACCACUAUAAAAUUGUCAUUCCUUAGAGAAACGGAGACAAAAAAAGUUCCAAACGUCUUUGAACUUCAUCAUAUUUUAUUACAUGAUUCAAAUAUGUAUUAAAACAGUAUUUUCAAUUUUUUUGAUUUUUUUUCAAAAUCUAUGUGUUAACCCCUACGAAAAGAGUGAGUUUUCGGUAAAUGCUCUAUAUAUGAAGCCUAUAAUCUUUAAAUUUUUUUUAAAAUUUAAAACCACAUUAUACCUUUGUAUUAAUGUAUGAUAAACUUCUUUUCAUGGUACAUGGACAUCGUUCUAAUUUUUUAUCCAUUAAUUUAGUAAAACUGCAAAUACUCCCUAAAUCAUUAGACUAACCACUAUAAAAUUGUCAUUCCUUAGAGAAACGGAGACAACAAAAGUUCCAAACGUCUUUGAACUUCAUCAUAUUUUAUUACAUGAUUCAAAUAUGUAUUAAAACAGAAUUUUCAAUUUUUUUGAUUUUUUUUUCAAAAUCUAUGUGUUAACCCCUACGAAAAUAGUGAGUUUUCGUUAAAUACUCUAUAUAUGAAGCCUAUAAUAUUUAAAUUUGUUUUAAAAUUUAAAACCACAUUAUACCUUUGUAUUAAUGUCUGAUAAACUUUUUUUCAUGGUACAUGGACAUCGUUCUAAUGUUUUAUCCAUUAAUUUAGCAAAACUGAAAAUACUCCCUAAAUCAUUAGACUAACAACUAUAAAAUUGCUAUUCCCUAGAGAAACGGAGACAACAAAGGUUCCAAACCUCUUUGAACUUCAUCAUAUAUUAUUACAUGAUUCAUAUAUGUAUUAAAACAGUAUUGUCAAAUUUGUUGAAUUUUUCUCAAAAUCUAUGUGUACCCCUACGAAAAUAGUGAGUUUUCGGUAAAUGCUCUAUAUAUGAAGCCUAUAAUCCUUAAAUUUGUUUUAAAAUUUAAAACCACAUUAUACCUUUGUCUUAACGUAUGAUGAACUUCUUUUCAUGGUACAUGGACAUAGUUUUAAUUUUUUAUCCAUUAAUUUAGCAAAACUGCAAAUACUCCCUAAAUCAUUAGACUAACCACUAUAAAAUUGCUAUUCCCUAGAGAAACGGAGACAACAAAGGUUCCAAAUCUCUUUGAACUUCAUCAUAUAUUAUUACAUGAUUCAUAUAUAUAUUAAAACAGUAUUGUCAAAUUUUUUGAAUUUUUCUCAAAAUCUGUGUGUACCCCCCUACGAAAAUAGUGAGGUUUCGUUAAUGCUCUAUAUAUGAAGCUUAUAAUCUUUAAAUUUGUUUUAAAAUUUAAAACCACAUUAUUCCUUUGUAUUAAUAUCUGAUAAACUUCUUUUCAUGGUACAUGGACAUCGUUCUAAUUUUUUACCAAUUAAUUUAGCAAAACUGCAAAUACUCCCUAAAUCAUUGGACUAAUCACUAUAAAAUUGCUAUUCCCUAGAAAAACGGAGACAACAAAGGUUCCAAACCUCUUUGAAAUUCAUCAUAUGUUAUUACAUGAUUCAACUAUGCAUUAAAACAGUAUUGUCAAUUUUUUUGAAUUUUUCUCAAAAUUUAUGUGUACCCCCCUACGAAAAUAGUGAGUUUUCGGUAAAUGCUCUAUAUAUGGAGCCUAUAAUCUUUAAAUUUGUUGUAAACUUUAAAACCACAUUAUACCUUUGUCUUCACGUAUGAUAAACUUCUUUUCAUGGUACAUGGACAUAGUUCUAAUUUUUUAUCCAUUAAUUUAGCAAAACUGCAAAUACUCCCUAAAUCAUUAGACUAACCACUAUAAAAUUGUUAUUCCUUAGAGAAACGGAGACAACAAAGGUUCCAAACGUCUUUGAACUUCAUCAUAUUUUAUUACAUGAUUCAAAUAUGUAUUAAAACAGUAUUUUCAAUUUUUUUGAUUUUUUUUCAAAAUCUAUGUGUUAACCCCUACGAAAAGAGUGAGUUUUCGGUAAAUGCUAUAUAUAUGAAGCCUAUAAUCCUUAAUUUUGUUUUAAAAUUUAAAACCACAUUAUACCUUUGUAUUAAUGUCUGAUAAACUUCUUUUCAUGGUACAUGGACAUCGUUCUAAUUUUUUAUCCAUUAAUUUAGCAAAACUGCAAAUACUCCCUAAAUCAUU
RNAcentral lists this long non-coding RNA (2312 nucleotides) under Brassica rapa (field mustard). Its description in RNAcentral is "long non-coding RNA (BRAP_LNC003962)". Lineage: Eukaryota; Viridiplantae; Streptophyta; Magnoliopsida; Brassicales; Brassicaceae. The record is from RNAcentral.